Molecule: long non-coding RNA, 4184 nt
Organism: Patella vulgata (common limpet)
Lineage: Eukaryota; Metazoa; Mollusca; Gastropoda; Patellidae
Exons: 5
Source: RefSeq, a predicted model, not a curated record
ACACAGGCUAUAUAUCGCCAUUUUGAAUAGUGUCAAAGUACGUUUCUAAGAAAAUAGCUGUUUUGGAACGGGACCGUAUUUUACACCGGGCUUACGUCUUAAGAACUUACUGCGAGCUUAAUAGCCUACGACUGACUCGACGUUGUAUUUAAAAGGCAAGAUAUUCACGGUAAGAAAACAAUAUGGCUAAACUUCCGCAAGAAAGUUAUGACAGAAUACGAAAGUGUAAUGAGUUUAUUCUCGAAAAUAUGGUAAAUCCCGAUAAGGUCGUUGAGUACCUGUUCAGUGAAGAUGUUCUUUCUUACGACCAUACGUCUGAGAUUGAGGCCAAAGUAAAGGGACGACAGCGAGUAAAGAAACUUCUAGAUAUAAUAAUGAAUGAGUGUAACGACUGCUAUGAUCAGUUUCUGGAAGCACUGAGAAAGAGCGGGUUUGCGCAGGUCGCUGAUAAAAUAGAUUCUGGUAAUGACGACAGCCGACCUAUAAAUGGAUCCAUUCCAAUUAAACCAGAACCGAUCCCAUCAAACUCAAUGCCGAACAGAGACCGGAAUCCAGAUAUAAAACCAAACCCGAACGACAGUCGACCUAUAAAUAGAUCCAUUCCAAUUAAAACAGAACCGAUCCCAUCAAACUCAAUGCCAAACAGAGACCGGAAGCCAGAUAUAAAGACAACCCCGACUCAAGUGCAGAAGGGUCAAAUGAGAAGUGACCAUUACGACAUAUGGGUAGAGUUACACGAAUAUGUGGUGACACACUUUAGUGUCCAGCUUAGAGAACUCACGAAAAAAAUGGUGUCAGAAAAUAUCAUAAGUGAAGAUGACAUGGAAAUAAUUAACAGAGAAGCAAAGGAAACGAGUAAUUUAGAUGGCGCUACAAAACUUGUGGAGAUUCUUGGUGGGCGUGGUGAUCUUGUGUUACCGCGGAUUAAGAAUGCUCUGAAAAAUAUCAACAACAAAGUAGCCGAUGUGAUAGAAGACAGAUUGGAUGAGUUGGAUCGUGACUAACCAUGUUCGGACAUAAAUAUAUAUAUAUAUAUCUAAAAGCUGUAAAUAAUUUCAUGUAAUUUUCGUAGUUCAAAUUACAGUAGAAAAAGCGAUAAUUUCAUAUUUUCUAAGAAAGUCAAAACAUAAUUAUUUCUAUGUCUUUUGCUCAAUAGGAUGUCAACUCACUAUUAUACGAUCAAGGGUAUUAUUCUCCCACUUAAAAAUCCUUUGACCCCGGAAAUAAUAACACAAUUACCUCCCUUGUUUUUCUAUUUCCCCCAUGGAAUAGCUAUCUUCAAACGUUUAAAUUUAAAAUUGAAAAUUAUACUUUUGCUAAUUUCUCAACUGACAAUAGUGAAUUAUAGGAUUAAUAGGAAUAUUCUUUAACAAGGUAGGACUGUUUAUAGAUACCAUCUUUGUUAAGGCUUUAUUUUAAAAAAUUUUAAAAAUAUAACUUAAAAAUAUGAAAUUGCAACUUUAAACUAAAAGUCUGGUAUACAGUGUCACCAGAUGGCACUACGGUACGCAUUAUUUUGACCCAUUUGUAAAGGCGAAAAUUUUAUUGCAGCUCUUGAUAAUCUUCAUUUUUGAAACAGAAGCAGUUGUAGUCACAAAAGGAAUGGUAGUUUGAGGGGGAGGGGGUGUAAGGGAGUCACUCGUUUUUUUUUAUUUGUAACUUUAAAUAAGUACGUUUUAUAUAUGUUAUGUUUUGAUGUACCCUAGGGUCUCUAUGGGCCUCAAUCCGACCCUGCUCACUUAGAACGACCUGCAAAUAAAGAUAUUUGUAUCUUACCAAUAGAGGAUUAAACUUAACAAUAAUAAUAUGUUUCUAGCUUGUAGAACUUUAUAAAUAAAUAGCCGAACUAAACAGUGGUGAAUUCUGGAAUUUAUCACAGAACACAGAUUGUGUGUCCUUCUUCCCGAAAUAGACACAUUUAUUUCUUCAAAUUGGUGGUGGGGGGGGGGGGGGCACUUAGGUAUUGGAUACACGAACUGAAAUGGGGUGUAACGUACUACUUUUCUGUACCGACGAGGUAUGAGGGAUUUUGCCUGGCCAGCGGCGUUACGACUUACUCUUAUUUAUAAAUCGAUAUGUCACGGGUUCCUUCUUUACGUGUAUGCCAAUGUUUACACGGCGCCCAGGAUUCCCAUCCCAUCCGAACGACUAGACAUUGUCCUUGCCAUGCCCUCCGUCGUGCACCUCUGACAAGGGGGGGGGGGGUGGCAACCGGGAGCGGACCCGAAACCUCCCGGUUAACGAGCCAGCAUUUUACUCACUGCGCCACCACGUCUCCCUAUUACAUUACAAAGAUACACAGUGAGGCGUCCGGGUUUUUAGCAAGACUUAUGACAGUAAAGUUCGUGUUAGUCUAUCAAAAUUAUUUUGUAUCUGAAACCAUGCGAUCGCCAGCGCCUUUCUCACUGGGCCACAAGAUCUAAAUAGACAAAAUGGACAGUAAUUCACUCAAGCAAAUUGUAAAGCCUCUUCGAAAUUAUUUUGUAUCUGAAUCGAUGCGUGCACCAGCGCCUUUCUCAUUUUCCCACAAAAUGGAAAGUAAUUCACCCAAGCAUGUUGUAAAGCCUCUUAAAAAUAGGCGUAAUCCGGAAUGAUGUCAAAUGAGUUUUUCCAAGAGGAAAGUCACGUGAUGAGUUAAACACCUGACGUCACGUUCGUCAUCAUAAUAUACUACGGCCAUUUUGCAUCUGAAUUGAUGCGUGCAACUGGCUUCUUUUUACUUCACUAAUUAACAUGACCGUAUUAUUACAGAUCCUAUAAUCUAAAUAGCACAGGAUACCCCCCCCCCCCAUACCCCUCCCAAAGAAAUAAAUAUAUCGUGUUACUGUUAAGAUAAACUUUGCUUUGGUUGUGACAUAUUUUAAUAUUUCUACCACUUGAUUUUUCUCCACGUAUUAUAAUGUUUAUUUGCUUUGCUCAUAGCCAAACAAUAAAGCAAAUAAAAACGGCGACAUAUAUUAUGUGGGCGAAGCAUUCUAAUACAGGUAACAAACAUAUUGAAAGGAGUCUUUGCCUUAAAAAAAAAUGAUUGAAGUCCUGUAGUGUUUAAUAAAGGUGAAGGCGUGUAUUAUUAAAAUAGCCCAAAUAUAGAUAAAAUUAUAUAGCAGUGAGGUUUUGCCAUAAAAGCUUGAUUGUUGGCAAGUUUACUGGUGAAUGUAAAGGGACUAUAAAAAGUGCUGCGCAUUGGAAUUAGUGCAAGAAUAUCACAUAUAACAGGGGGGAUUAAGCGAAGGGAAUGGGAGUCUCUUUCAAUCCUUUCAAAUAGCUCAUUUUUCUUUAAAAGGCAAGUUCACUCUUUAUUGGGCCGCUUAAUGAUAUAGCUGGCGUGUAUCCAGAUCGGGGAAGGGAAGUGCAGGGGUUCCAUACCCGCCUCUGCUCAUUCAAAGCAUAUUUUAUUAUGUCCUACAUUCUUCGACAUAACAUCGAAUAAACAAACGUACAAGGAUUGAACAAAAAUGAAUAAACUCAUAAAAACGCCCUUUCCUUGAUAAGUACAUAAUAUUAUUCAAGAUAACAAAAUGUGUAAUAACUAUCAAUUCUAUCCUGUAUUAUUUAACGGCAUUUAUUCAUUAAAAUCCAGGGGCCUGUUUCACGAAAUUUUAACUAAGAUAAAAUCCAAAUUUUAGUAAUUUGAUUGGAUAAUAUUAGACUGAUUGUAGAGCUUAGCCAAUCAAAAUUGAAGUAUCUACUAAAAUUACCCAGGAUCUUGAAAACUAAUACUUAUAACAGUAUAAUAGUUUGAAAACUAAUACUUAUAACAGAGAGGGGGAGAAAUGGGGUUUAAAGUCCACUCGACACAAACUAGGUCAUUUCGGGACUAACAUAUGGUUUAAUUUUAUUUCAAUAAUUCGCUUGCGCGUAGGGGUCUUUAGCAGUGGGAGGCUUUAUGAUACAGCGCGCACGUGCUAACCAUUCGGCCAUCCACCCCCCCACCCCCCUACUUAUAACAGUAUAAUCGUUUGAAAACUAAUACUUAUAACAGUAUAAUCGUUUAUACUGGACCGUUCUGUUUAGUUACCUUUGUAUGCAGGGCCCUCACAAGCCUAUGUGUCGAUCCAGGGAUAAAGUUCUGUAAUUGCUUUGUUCAAUGCCUGUGCUCAUUUGAUUUGUUAUGGUUAAAUAAAUUUUAAAAUACAAUUUUUAUACUUUUAACACUUUAUCUAAAUAAAUAUUUAUUAAAUCAA